GCCAACGUUCAUACCACGUUGAACACACCGGUUCUCGUCCGAUCACCGAAGUUAAGCAACGUCGGGCGCGGUUUUAGUACUUGGAUGGGUGACCGCCUGGGAAUACCGCGUAAUGUUGGCU
RNAcentral lists this ribosomal RNA (121 nucleotides) under Pectinophora gossypiella (pink bollworm). Lineage: Eukaryota; Metazoa; Arthropoda; Insecta; Lepidoptera; Gelechiidae. The record is from RNAcentral.